GACAGAGGGUGCAAACGUUGUUCGGAAUUACUGGGCGUAAAGCGCGUGUAGGCUGCUUCGCAAGUCGGAUGUGAAAGCCCUGGGCUCAACCCAGGAAGUGCAUUCGAAACUGCAGAGCUGGAGUCCUGGAGAGGAAGGCGGAAUUGACGGUGUAGCGGUGAAAUGCUUAGAUAUCGUCAAGAACACCUAUAGCGAAGGCAGCUUACUAAGCUGUAACUGACGCUGAGGCACGAAAGUGUGGGGAUCAAACAGG
Molecule: ribosomal RNA, 253 nt
Filed under: uncultured bacterium
Lineage: Bacteria
Description: partial 16S ribosomal RNA
Rfam family: Bacterial small subunit ribosomal RNA
Source: RNAcentral